AUUGCCGGUCCUUUUCGAGUUGCAUGUCAACGAAAAUCCAAAUUGAACAGAUCUGGAAUUUCAAUUCAACAUCAUCACUACGUCCUCGACUGAUUCGCCAUAUAUUUGGGUAUAGUAAAAACAUAUCUAAACUGCGGUACGUAUUUACGUUCAAUUAUUUUUCAUUAAUUUGACAGCUUAACAUUUUUCUUCAUGGGUUUUACAAGGCGACUCGCUUCAUCUCUACCGCCAUAUUGUACACGCCGUGUAUGGCAUCAUGGAAAAAUGGGACGAGGUUCCACCCUAUUUUUGACGGGCUAGUAUGGAUAAACCUAGAGUCUACGAAUGAUGCGAAGUUGAUCGUUCGGAUCUAAAAUAGCUAUAUUUAGCGUAUCUCACGUGAUUAGGCACAUUCCAGAAAAUCCCUUUGAGAUUGAAGCGAUUAAGCAGAGCGAGUGUAUGUAAACAUUUAUUUAACGGUGAAAUACGCAACAAAGAGUGACAUAUUAAUACAUUUUAUGCAUGAAUAAAUUAUUCUGAGGUCAAACAUGGACGAUAAUUGCCCGUGUUCAUAUAGUAAUUGAUUGAUUUAGAUAUCCAAGGAAAGAUAACUCCCAUUAUUAACGUACUCACAACGUACCGGUGGUAUACAAUAAUACAAUGUUUAUACAUUUCUGAAUGAUGAGUGAAUCUUUAUUUUCAUCAGAAUCUUUUCCAUCACACUCACAGACCAGGUCCCCAUACCCCUACCAGUGUCAAUCUGUGACUGAUAGCAGUGCGGUAUUUAAUUUGAUAUAGUCUAGAGGAAAUUCGAAAUAUGGUAGUGACAUUUCUUCCUCACUGAAUUAGCUAGAUUUUUAUCAUUUAAAGAAAAGUGGGGUAUGGACUGGGGGAUUAAAAAUGCUAUUUGCCAAAUUUUCAACAAUAUUAAUUACAAGGCAAGGCAAAAGGGGUCAUAAGCUACAGUACAGAUGAUGCAAUUUUCACUUGCAAGUUGCACUGCCACUAGUUACACUUAAACUUACUUACAGAUAAAUAAAGUAACUUACAAAUAUUUUAUUUAUUUAUCUAUCUAUCAUUUCAUUUCAUUUUUUUUAAUAUCAUGGUUUGUACUUGAAGAAUCAUCGCAAUAAAGGGACAUUAAUUAUUAGUGUUACAAAAAAAUCUGAUCAUGCAGUUUUUAAAUUUCUGAAUUUUGAAAAAAUAAAAAUAAAUAAAUAAUAGAUUCUGAUACCACUCAGCCCCCCGACUGGCCAGAGAGUUCUGCUUCUGUCAGUUCUGAUGUAACUAGCUCAGCCCCCAGACUGGCCAGAGAGUCCACUGUUUCGGUAAAUUCUGAUAAUGAUGCAACUCAGCCCCCCCACCCCCGACAGCUCUACCAGAAGUUCUCGGAAAAGACUUGCUGAUGUUUAAUAAAUCAGUUUUCCUAUUAAUUUUACUUUUGCUCCUGUUCAUUAGGCUAUGGCCCAAUCUGAUUAAAUUUAAGAUCGUUGAUCCGCUCCGUACGUAUUCCUCUUCCUCUCCUGUAUUUGUGAAGUCCAGAGGUGAGAUAUAUUCUUUCCAAACAACUAAGAAUGUUCAUGGAACAAUUUAGUAUUAAUUGUUUUCCUUUUCUGUUGUAUGCCUUAUUUCAAGAAAUAACUUUCAGGUCACUUUUUAAUGUGAAAUGGAACAUUUUCAAUUUUUGACAACCUGACGGUAGGGGUGUUUAAGACACUAUACCUCAUUUUCUGUAAGGAAGUGGAGUAAAAGGAAUUCAGAAUUGGAUUCAGCAUACUCAAAAUUGGUAAUUACACCUGCUUUUUAUUGUUUUGGGUAAUGGUGUUUCAAGAAAUAAAGUUGGGUCACUUUUUGAUGCGAAAUGAAACAUUUUACGUUUUUGGCAACCUGACGGUAGCGGUGUUUAAGACACUAUACCUCAUUUUCUAUAAGAAAUUGGAGUAAAAGGAAUCCAGAUUUGAAAUCAGCAUACUCAAAAUUGGUAAUUACACCUGAUUUUUAUUGUUUUGGGUAAUUUUUGAAAAAUGGGUGGUGGUUGCUACUCUUAAGGGUUGCUAUUCUAUUCCCAUACAUCUACUGUAAUAUUUAAGCAUUAAUUUUGUUUAUUUUUAAACUUAUCUGUAAGAUCGUAAUCUUUAUAUUUAGGCCUACUUAGCUAACCCGACAACACGUGCUGAUUCAUAUUAUUCCUCUGAUAAUAUUGUUCAACUUCGUAGAAAAUGUUACGACGUACCAAGCGCCCAUCUAAAUCGCCUUACGCUAGACCGGCACAACAUCCCAGCUCUUCGGUCAUUGCCCACACAGAAUCUGACCCCUGCAAUUCCAACCCGAAUUCAGCCCCGUCCGACAUCAAGUCAACCCCAAGAGGAGAACCAGAUGGGCAUAUAGGACACAGCUAUCAUUUAAUCACAAAGGUAGCCUCCCAGCCUAAUCGCGGAAACCACUGCACCCACACAGCCACCGGCGACACCCUUCAUAACAGUGCCACAGGAAAGUGAUGAUGCAAACUUGCAGAAGGAUUCCUCACAAUCAUCCCAUUCAAGAAAAGAUUUGUCCACGUCAACCUCCAGCACUGCCACGCACACGGCUACUUCUGUAAGAAAAGGUAAAAAGCCUAUGCCAGGAAGUCAAGCCACAGUAAAAUCAAGACUUCUUGAAAUGGCCGAAAAGGAACAUGAACAAAAAAUGAAAAAUUUGAAAUUGAAGGAAAACAUUUUGAUAUUGAAGAAACAGAAACUUGAAAAUGAAAUGAUGCAAAGCAGAUCAAAUAAUAAUGCAAAUGCUGCUGCAUGCAAUGAUGUAAACAAUUUUGCUGGUGUUUGGUAUAAAAAAUGUGUAAUUAAAUCAUCUUUGUCCAAUUUAUUAUGAAUUUUGUCCAGUUUAUUUUGAAUUUGUAUAUGUCUUGAUUUGUGCAAAAACAAAAACAAAAAUUAAAAAUUUCUACCUACAUGCAUAACGCAUUUCUAUUUCCCGCAAACCUUCAAACUUGGUCAUAUUUAUGUAUUGCAGCUAACAGGUUUAGCCCAUUUUUUUUCUAGUCAACUCGUACCCAAAAUGCAAAAGUCAACUCGUACCCAAGAAUCUGCCCAUAAUGCAAUAUAUCUAUGCACAUAUAAGUGACAUAUCGCUUAGGUACGAGUUGUCAUCAAUUGAAGAGGAGGAGUCAACUCGUAACCAGAUUCUUGGGUACGAGUUGACUUUUGCAUUUUUGGUACGAGUUGACCUAUUGAUACGAAUGGACCUGGGUACGAGUCGGUCAGGGUACGAGUUGACUUGACUCCGCCCAGAUAAAUAAUUUCCUAAAUAUAAACAUGGCCUUUUUUUAUGCACCACCUUUGAUAUUUAGUAGUAUUCUUAACAUAUAUCUAUUGGCUGGGCUACCGUUUUGUCAUGUCAUGUGAUUAGUCAUAUUUGUGUCAUGUGACUAGUCAGCAUGUUUUUGGUUGUAUGUUUUACACUUUAACUAGUCAAUUUGUAGUAUUGCUAUAUUUUGUUUUUUAAGCCCAGCCAAUUAAUUGUCAUGUAUUUGUCAUUUGUUAGAUUUAAUAAAUGACAUUGUCACAUGA
Molecule: long non-coding RNA, 3545 nt
Organism: Ostrea edulis (European flat oyster)
Lineage: Eukaryota; Metazoa; Mollusca; Bivalvia; Ostreida; Ostreidae
Exons: 3
Source: RefSeq, a predicted model, not a curated record